UUAACUAUUAUAUAGUACUCAGACGACGUAAAAUUCAGAGUUUAGGUCCUCUGGCAGACACUUACCAGCCGGAGCCGGUAGCCAGGCGUGAACCCGACGGGCCUGCCAAAGCAACAAAAGUAUAGUACUCAAGGGUGGGAGGUCUACCCUAAAGGGCAUGAACUCUGUAAUGAUCCUUCCGCAGGUUCACCUACGGAAA
RNAcentral lists this unclassified non-coding RNA (199 nucleotides) under uncultured fungus. RNAcentral describes it as "sequence contains ITS1". Lineage: Eukaryota; Fungi. The record is from RNAcentral.